Molecule: ribosomal RNA, 462 nt
Filed under: uncultured bacterium
Lineage: Bacteria
Description: partial 16S ribosomal RNA
Rfam family: Bacterial small subunit ribosomal RNA
Source: RNAcentral
ACGAACGCUGGCGGCGUGCUUCACCCAUGCAAGUCGCACGGUGAACCUCUUCGGAGGGGAUCAGUGGCGAACGGGUGAGUAACACGUAGGCAACCUGCCCCCGGCUCUGGGAUAACUCCAAGAAAUUGGGGCUAAUACCGGAUGUUCACCGCUUCCCGCAUGGGUGGUGGUGGAAAGGGUUUCCGGCUGGGGAUGGGCCCGCGGCCUAUCAGCUUGUUGGUGGGGUAGUGGCCUACCAAGGCGACGACGGGUAGCCGGCCUGAGAGGGUGACCGGCCACACUGGGACUGAGACACGGCCCAGACUCCUACGGGAGGCAGCAGUGGGGAAUAUUGCGCAAUGGGCGGAAGCCUGACGCAGCGACGCCGCGUGGGGGAUGACGGCCUUCGGGUUGUAAACCUCUUUCAGCAGGGACGAAGCGCAAGUGACGGUACCUGCAGAAGAAGCACCGGCCAACUACGUG